This 472-nucleotide long non-coding RNA is filed under the name Monodelphis domestica (gray short-tailed opossum). RNAcentral's name for it is "lncRNA (ENSMODG00000050801.1)". The record is from RNAcentral. Lineage: Eukaryota; Metazoa; Chordata; Mammalia; Didelphimorphia; Didelphidae.
CAUAGUUAACCUGCUGGCUGGUUCAGCUAGUCACCUACAUCCAAGAGAAUUGCUAAAAGCUUCUGCACUGCUCUGCAUCCUGUGAGGACAACCUGUUGUGAGUUAACUGCCUGAAUCUUACUCUUGCUUUACUACAAGGCACAGAGAGGAAGAUGAGAGAGGGGUAAGCCAGCAGAUACUCUCUUUCUGAGCUCUCCUUACUUCCCAAAGGGAGGCAUGUGGAAGGACCACCAGAGUUGGAGGGGAUCAAUGAGCCAGGAAACCAAGAAUUUGGAGAAGUGAAGGAAUCCAUGUAGGUCAACUUGGAGUACCUCAAGAUGGAGAAGGAGUAGUGGCUCUGAUGGUAGUGGACAUGGAUUCAGAAAAGAAUAGAGAAGACAAAAUCAAUAAUCCCACUUGAAAAAGGAGAUGGAAUUCUGUCAAUUCAAGGGACAACAGGGUACAGUGAAAGAACACUGAGUCUGAAAGCAGA